This 77-nucleotide transfer RNA is filed under the name Burkholderiales bacterium. RNAcentral's name for it is "tRNA-Arg". Lineage: Bacteria; Pseudomonadati; Pseudomonadota; Betaproteobacteria; Burkholderiales. The record is from RNAcentral. RNAcentral also lists the same sequence under 4 other names.
GCGCCCGUAGCUCAGUUGGAUAGAGUACUGCCCUCCGAAGGCAGGGGUCGUGCGUUCGAGUCGCGCCGGGCGCGCCA